Molecule: unclassified non-coding RNA, 311 nt
Filed under: Hevea brasiliensis (rubber tree)
Lineage: Eukaryota; Viridiplantae; Streptophyta; Magnoliopsida; Malpighiales; Euphorbiaceae
Source: RNAcentral
AGGAGUCGCCACUUUAAUUUUGAGAGAAAUUAAAGAAAAUCGUUUGUAAAAAUAAAAAUUAAAAACCACUUCGAAAACAGAUAUUUUAAGUUCGGGAUCCAUACACGGGUGGGAAAGGUAUUAGGCACCCCACCUCGUCCCUCAACAAGGGCAAACAAAUUUAAUGAUUUGCUCUUUAUAAAUUUAAAUUGAUGAUUUGGGGUUAGAAUUGUGAUGUUAAUCCUUUGUAUUGAUAAAAGGAAUGUUUAAUAUUUCACUGUUAUGGAUUGCCCAAGAACACGAGUACAUGAGAUGACCCUUCAGUGAGUAGU